Molecule: ribosomal RNA, 451 nt
Filed under: uncultured Hyphomicrobiales bacterium
Lineage: Bacteria; Pseudomonadati; Pseudomonadota; Alphaproteobacteria; Hyphomicrobiales
Description: uncultured Rhizobiales bacterium partial 16S ribosomal RNA
Source: RNAcentral
CACGAAGUUAGCCGGGGCUUCUUCUCACGCUACCGUCAUUAUCGUCGCGUGCGAAAGAGCUUUACAACCCUAAGGCCGUCAUCACUCACGCGGCAUGGCUGGAUCAGGCUUGCGCCCAUUGUCCAAUAUUCCCCACUGCUGCCUCCCGCAGGAGUUUGGGCCGUGUCUCAGUCCCAAUGUGGCUGGCCAUCCUCUCAGACCAGCUAUCGAUCGUCGCCUUGGUGAGCCGUUACCUCACCAACAAGCUAAUCGAACGCGGGCCAAUCCUUCGGCGAUGAAUCUUUCGCCCUCAAGCCGUAUCCAGUAUUAGCGCCAGUUUCCCGGCGUUGUUCCGAACCGAAGGGUAUGUUCCCACGUGUUACUCACCCGUCUGCCACUCCCCUUGCGGGGCGUUCGACUUGCAUGUGUUAAGCCUGCCGCCAGCGUUCGUUCUGAGCCAGGAUCAAACUCU